RNAcentral lists this transfer-messenger RNA (355 nucleotides) under Hyphomonadaceae bacterium ML37. It matches the Rfam family "Alphaproteobacteria transfer-messenger RNA". Rfam says of the family: Bacterial tmRNA, also known as 10Sa RNA or SsrA, is named for its dual tRNA and mRNA-like properties. Lineage: Bacteria; Pseudomonadati; Pseudomonadota; Alphaproteobacteria; Hyphomonadales; Hyphomonadaceae. The record is from RNAcentral.
CGCCUUUCAUCUGCGGCGUCUAACCCUUAUAUUGGGGGUGUCCGCUUCGGCGGUCUAUGGCGAUAAACGCGCGUGUAAUAACCAGACCGGACCCGGGUGCGAAUCCCGGCGGCUCCACCAAUCUCCCGCUCAUUGGCGCGGCGCAUGGGGCCGACUAGCAUCGACGGAUGGCUAAAGGCGUAGCUUUCGCCCGAAUGGGCUUCGUUACCAGCCCACUCAAAGUAGUUGCCAAUGACAACUAUGCUGAAGAGGUGGCUCUCGCUGCAUAGCAGCGCGGGUAUCUCGCACUUAAGUCCUGAUCUCUAGCAAGGUCAGGCGGGGUUCGGGGGGCGCCUGGCAACAGAAGCCCCCCACU